AUUUAUCUAGUAGCAAGAGUAUAGGUCUGGAUCCAAGGAGAAAUUUCUCCCUCACAACCCACAAUGCUCAGGAGGGAGACCAUUCAUGUUCCAUCCCUGCAAGACAAUUCAACCACACAACCACCAUGAGCCAUGAGUGUCAGUGGAUGUAACGUGGUCCAAGCUGGGAAGUCAGAUUCAGCACUGCCUCCUCCCCUACCAACCUGGAAGAACCUUGGCUCUUGGCGAGAAGCAGCUACUAGCACAAAGAUGGGGACCACACUGACAAG
This 269-nucleotide long non-coding RNA is filed under the name Homo sapiens (human). RNAcentral describes it as "HSALNT0069038". Lineage: Eukaryota; Metazoa; Chordata; Mammalia; Primates; Hominidae. The record is from RNAcentral.